Molecule: ribosomal RNA, 422 nt
Filed under: uncultured eukaryote
Lineage: Eukaryota
Description: bacterial SSU rRNA
Rfam family: Eukaryotic small subunit ribosomal RNA
Source: RNAcentral
CAAUAGCGUAUAUUAAAGUUGUUGCGGCUAAAAAGCUCGUAGUUGGAUCUCUGUUAGGGACAUCAGGUCCGUACUAUGUACGAGUAUCUUGUUUGGCCUUGGCAUCCGCUCUGCAAACGUGUCUGCGCUUGAUUGCGUGGCGCGGAGGUAGGGCCUUUUACUUUGAGGAAAUUAGAGUGUUCACGGCAGGCAUACGCCUUGAAUAUAUUAGCAUGGAAUAAUAAUAUAGGAUCUUGGUUCUAUUUUGUUGGUUUCUAGGGCUAAGAUAAUGAUUAAUAGGGACAAUUGGGGGCAUUCGUAUUAAGCCGUCAGAGGUGGAAUUCUUGGAUUGGCUUACGACGAACUACUGCGAAAGCAUUUGCCAAGGAUGUUUUCAUUGAUCAAGAACGAAAGUAAGGGGAUCGAAGACGAUUAGAUACCAU